RNAcentral lists this small RNA (642 nucleotides) under Pongo abelii (Sumatran orangutan). RNAcentral describes it as "retained intron". The record is from RNAcentral. Lineage: Eukaryota; Metazoa; Chordata; Mammalia; Primates; Hominidae.
CUCGGAGCCGUUGGGUCGGUUCCUGCUAUUCCGGCGCCUCCACUCCGUCCCCCGCGGGUCUGCUCUGUGUGCCAUGGACGGCAUUGUCCCAGAUAUAGCCGUUGGUACAAAGCGGGGAUCUGACGAGCUUUUCUCUACUUGUGUCACUAACGGACCGUUUAUCAUGAGCAGCAACUCGGCCUCUGCAGCAAACGGAAAUGACAGCAAGAAGUUCAAAGGUGACAGCAGAAGCGCCGGCGUCCCCUCUAGAGUGAUCCACAUCCGGAAGCUCCCCAUCGACGUCACAGAAGGGGAAGUCAUCUCCCUGGGGCUGCCCUUUGGGAAGGUCACCAACCUCCUGAUGCUGAAGGGGAAAAACCAGGUACCUGAGCCGCGUUUCUCCGGGGCGCUCGCACCGCGCAGGCGGGGAGGAGGAGGGCCCAGCGCUCACUGCCUCCCCCACAGGCCUUCAUCGAGAUGAACACGGAGGAGGCUGCCAACACCAUGGUCAACUACUACACCUCGGUGACACCCGUGCUGCGCGGCCAGCCCAUCUACAUCCAGUUCUCCAACCACAAGGAGCUGAAGACCGACAGCUCCCCCAACCAGGCGCGGGCCCAGGCGGCCCUGCAGGCUGUGAACUCGGUCCAGUCGGGGAACCUG